Long non-coding RNA from Daphnia pulicaria, 715 nucleotides. RefSeq lists it as uncharacterized. Lineage: Eukaryota; Metazoa; Arthropoda; Branchiopoda; Diplostraca; Daphniidae. The record is from RefSeq and is a predicted model, not a curated record. The transcript is spliced from 3 exons.
UUUCAGAAACUUCGUCACAGCUCUUUCAUCGAGGCAUAGUCGAAGCAAACUUUGGAAUCCAGGAUAAUCAGAAGUUAACAAGUGGAUUAUUUGAACGAAUGAAGUCGAUAGAGUGGGCUCUUCAAAAGAAAAUUUUAAAUAAUGAGCCAGAGCCAGAAGGUUUUAAUUUUUAAAUCUUCCCACUCACUUCAAUGUUGGAAUUUGAAGAAGUGAACGACCAGCUCGAGCCUUUUCAUGCUCGAAAAUCUUUAAAGGAGAAACUUGCAGUAAUUGGAGGAAAAAGUCUUGCAAGUGUAGUGAGGAAAAUCCUAAAAAAGGUUCUGGAUAAGGAGUUCGGCAAGCAAUUUAGCUGAUACGGGCGACGAGGAAAUUGCAUCUUGGGAUCCUCUCUUCUUGGAAAAAUAAUACUAGAAUCAGCUACUUCUAGUAAGACAUUACCCAUUACAGAAACAGAGGCCAUUGACGCAGCAAUGUCUUGGCUUCGCCAGUCAAAGGAUAAGAAGACUAACGCUAAUUGAAACAUCAGCCCUAUCAACCGUGGUUUCCUCGAUCAACACAGAACAUUACAUUUUCAUUAUUUUAGUUUUGAAUUUAGGCGAUUUCUUUAUUCAUUGUCGUUUCUUUUAAUUAACACAACUAAAUUGCAAUGAGCGGUUUUCGUGUUGAAUUUAUUCUCUUUGUAUUUAUUGUAAGAAAUACAGUUUCUCGGUUUUUA